Molecule: ribosomal RNA, 246 nt
Filed under: uncultured Pseudomonas sp.
Lineage: Bacteria; Pseudomonadati; Pseudomonadota; Gammaproteobacteria; Pseudomonadales; Pseudomonadaceae
Description: partial 16S ribosomal RNA
Rfam family: Bacterial small subunit ribosomal RNA
Source: RNAcentral
CACGCCGUAAACGAUGUCAACUAGUUGUUGGGGGUCUUGUACCUUUAGUAACGCAGCUAACGCAUUAAGUUGACCGCCUGGGGAGUACGGCCGCAAGGUUAAAACUCAAAUGAAUUGACGGGGGCCCGCACAAGCGGUGGAGCAUGUGGUUUAAUUCGAAGCAACGCGAAGAACCUUACCUGGCCUUGACAUGUAGCGAACUUUCCAGAGAUGGAUUGGUGCCUUCGGGAACGCUAACACAGGUGC